Molecule: long non-coding RNA, 385 nt
Organism: Salvelinus namaycush (lake trout)
Lineage: Eukaryota; Metazoa; Chordata; Actinopteri; Salmoniformes; Salmonidae
Exons: 3
Source: RefSeq, a predicted model, not a curated record
AAGUUAUAUUACCCUGUUUGUAUCUUUUGGAACAAUGGCAAUUAAGAUGAUUAAAAGGAUGUAGAAUAGAUAGAUGGGUUCCCACUGGUGUCACAGGCAUCCACAGGUCUUGACCACCAUGUUGCGAUGCUUCUUUAGUAUCACGUUGUUGUUGUCAUCGUAGAAGAGUACAGAGAUGGGACUGAGCUUGGUGGGUGCGCAGCACGCUUUGGGAACCUCAUCCGGCUUCAGAAGGUGAACCUGCCAUUGAAAACGGGUUCGUGAUCGUCGACAGGUGGACAGCGACAGCAAAGAGGAAACAACUGUCCUGGAUGAGGUCCAGUUGGAUGUGCCAUUGGAUGAUUUGCCAGAUGUUCCACAGCUGCCAGACCUCCUUGAUGUCCAG